AGACAAUGAGCCUCGAACACGCCACAGUGACCCAGACCCUGCUCGAGCCCGGCGCCGCUCCCGAAGCUACUCCCCAAUCAGGAAGAGGAGACGUGACUCCCCCAGCUUCAUGGAGCCCAGAAGGAUCACCAGGUUCCUCUCGGAGAGCAUCGCCGCCUGCCUGGCUGCCAGGCGCUCGCAAGCGUCCCAUCCCCUACUACCGCCCCAGCCCCUCGUCCUCCAGCUCGCUGAGCACCUACUCGUACAGCCGCA
Molecule: long non-coding RNA, 252 nt
Filed under: Chrysolophus pictus (golden pheasant)
Lineage: Eukaryota; Metazoa; Chordata; Aves; Galliformes; Phasianidae
Description: lncRNA (ENSCPIG00010003553.1)
Source: RNAcentral